RNAcentral lists this long non-coding RNA (2174 nucleotides) under Equus caballus (horse). RNAcentral's name for it is "lncRNA (ENSECAG00000052337.1)". Lineage: Eukaryota; Metazoa; Chordata; Mammalia; Perissodactyla; Equidae. The record is from RNAcentral.
CUUUACUGUGGUUUCCGUGGGAAGGAACAGGCGAGGCAGGGUAAGCAGGCCUGCGAUGGGCUGGUCUGAACGAUCCCAGCGGCUCUGGGGUGUGGGGGCUGGCACUGGUCGCCUGGCGGCUGGCCCUGGGUGAUCAGUGCAGGGGAGAGUGGCUGUGGAUUGGUUGGUUUGCAUAUGAAGUCAUCCUCUGGUGAGUUGGUGCUUAUCUCUAGAACUAGCUAACUCAGGGAGCGAUGGUCCCUCCCUGACCAGCAAGGCCGCAGAUGUCAGAGUGUCGGGAAUACAGAAGGUGUAGUUAGCACACACCCUAACUGCCGGGUGAUGAGGGCAAGGCUCUUCUCUGACCCUCGGUUUCCUUCUCUCUGAGUGGUGUGGCUGGGAGGGGCUCGAGCGAGUGGGUGAACCAGGAGGGCUUCUUGGGGGUGAUGAAGUUCGGCUUUGGGACCCCAUCGUGGGGGAAGGCGGUCAAGGCGGGUUUUGGAGUCUGGGCCUCGAACAGUGUGUUGGGGGCUGAGUUCUCUUUCAGGCAACCAUCGGGGUUGUGGGAGUUGAAGUUUGGGAGAUGGGCUGCAGCCAGGAUGGGGGCCUUCGACCCACCACGGAGCAGAGGGUGCCCGCCUCCUGGGGUGCAAGCCUCCCCUCCGCUCAUGGGGUGGGGACCUGGGCCUCUCAGUUCCCAGCUCAGCCCGCUGCGGGUACCCCGAGCUGGGCCGAGGUGUCCUGCCACAGAAGUGGCACCGUUGUGGGCUUCGUCCAGUUAGCAGGAAGAAGUUUUGCCCGAGAUACGGUUUGCUUUUUCGGUGUUUUGGUGGUUCUCCUUUUUGCUCAGCCGUGGUCAGCCACAGUAGGCGAGGGGUUGCAUCACGGGGCCACGGGGCCGGCCACAGGUGUCACGCACCACCUAUGCAGACAUCUAGGAUCUGGAUCUUUUUGGGGUGUUGCUUGGGUUCUCAGUUAUUAGCAAACCUUCCUGCUCCCAGGGGCUCCGAAUGACCACCGAUGUCUUCUCUCUCGUGGUUCCACGUUGACCGAGCUGGCUAGUGGGCCCUGUUCCACCUGAUGGUGGCUGUUGGCCUCUGGGGGCUGGGCUGGCUGGAUGUCACCAUCUGGAAUGUCUCUGUCAUGUCUGGAGCCUUGGGGAAAUGGCUGGGCCUCUCCCUCUCCACGUGGCCUCUCCACGUGGCCAUCAGAGCAGGAUGGCCAUGUUCCUUUCAUGGCGACUCAGGCUCCCCAAAGUGCAGAGCCGAAACUGCCGGACCGGACCUUCUAAAGCUCAGGCCCGGAACUGAGCCUGCAUCCUGUCCACCACAUCCCAUUGGUUUGCUGGAGCCCCAGGUCAGCCCAGAUAUGUGUCCGGGGUGGAGGUGGGGACCCCACUAGGGUGUGAACACUGGGAGGGCCCAGUUCAUGGGGCCGUCCUUUCAGACUAGCUGCCACAAAGGGAGCAGAGGGCAGGAGCCCGGAUUGGGGCAGGCCGAGGGGGGAGACCACAUCCACUCAAGCCGGGUGACUGACCGUGGGCAGGUGGCUUUGCCGUCCCAGGUGCCCUUUGUCAUUUGCGCCCCGGGGCAGUCAUAGGUACAGACGCGCUCUGAGCACGCCAGGUUUCAGCUCUCUGUUCCUGCCGGCAGGGAUCACUCUGUCCUGCCAGCUACCCAUCCCGUCGCGUCCCGUCCAGCAGGCCCAGGGAGUCACUUCCAGGAAAUUCCAGCGAAGGUCCAGGUUUAAAAGCGAGGGGUGUUUGGGGAGCCCACGAGGAGGGAGACGCCGAGGGGGUGGCCAAAGGGCCCAGCAUCGGUGAAAUUCUGAGGAAAUCUGGAUGCACAAAGUGACACUAGGCUGCGGACACAGAGGGAAGACGGGGUGAGGACGCAGCGAGAAGCUGGCAGCCUGCGAGCCCAGGAGAGAGGCCUCUGGAGAGUGGUGCCGAGCCCUCGGCCCUGGACUUGGAGGCUGCAGAGCUGCGAGAAAACAAUGCCUGCUGUUGGAGCCCCCAGUCGGUGGUAUUUUGUUCCAGCCGCCCAAGCAGACUAAAACGGGUCUUAUAUCUCAAAAGUGGGUUUGAAAAGACAUUUGGUGAAUGGUACUGUGUCUUAGACACUGUUCUGGGUGCUCAGCUUGCAGCAAUAAACAAAAUAGACCAAAAAAAGUGGGGAGGGUGUUUCUGGCUCUUG